Molecule: long non-coding RNA, 1381 nt
Organism: Betta splendens (Siamese fighting fish)
Lineage: Eukaryota; Metazoa; Chordata; Actinopteri; Anabantiformes; Osphronemidae
Source: Ensembl
AUGCUUUGCUUGAGACUUCUCUUCUUAAUCCUUCAAGGCCCCAUGUUCGGCGCAGGGCUCCUGGUGCUCGGUUGCCUGCUGCAGAGGAGCGUGGUGACCACAGAGGGGCAUCGUGGGACCGACCGCCAUGUUUUCUAUGCAGUUCGUAUGGACGGAGGCAUCAGAGCUGCCAGGACUGUAGCCGUGCGGCAUGGACUGGAUUUCAUGCAGCGGGUUGGAGGCCUGAAGGGCAUAUACAACCUGAGAGACAGCAGGGGGCGCUCUGACCGAGCCACUUUUGAGCAGAGGCUCUCGACUCUACCAGGGGUUCGCUGGCUUCAGAGGCAGCACAGUCUUUACAGAGAGAAGCGGCUUCCUGUGUCAAGACCCGGCCCCGUUUUCACCGAUGGUUCCCAGAGGAGGGAGUCCGCCUCUGGCAGGAAGCCGGCGAAGAAGAACCGCGACCAGUUUCUCACCUUCAACGACCCACUCUGGCACAUGCAGUGGGAACUGUUCGCCCAGGACGAGUACGGCGCCAGCGGGGCCGACCUGAACGUGAUGCCAGUGUGGAACAACAACAUCACCGGCGAUGGAGUGGUGGUCAGCAUCAUCGACGAUGAGACCGGCUUUAAAACCCUGCUGCCUCGUCCUCUGAAGCUUCCCACUACCUGUCAGUCACUUUUCUUUACCUUCUAACAACAGCUGACUGUGGCCAGGUGUUGAAAAUGUGACUUUCUUGGUGGGGGACAAGCAGCUAAAUAUAUAAUGACAAGCUGAAAGUGAGGGUUUGUUGCUCACCCACUGCUGCCGGGACCUGCGUGUGUCUACUGCAUUUACCGAACGCACACCUCCAGCUCUCACGGACCAGUGAACACGCAGACACACGGACGCGCACGGCUUUUUAUCACGCGCUCCGCAAACUGAACCUGCUCCGACGGCGAGGUUGCCUCCCCGCUGUCUCUCCAUAAAGGGCCGUGCUGCACCAGGGGCUCUCACACUGCGAUAAACGCCGACAACAGACGAGGGAACGCGGCAGAAACAAAGGCGGCGGCGCGGACGUCACCUUGUUUGUUUGUGCGUUUGCAUCCGUCGCCGCGGUGGACAGGAGUGAGCACACUGGGUGGAGGGAAGAGCAGCGGGCACGGACAUGUGCCGGUGCGUGCUUUGUGUAUGCUGCCUGACGCUUCCACACCCACCUGAGACUGCGCGAGGAACGUGGGAGGUAGAAGUCAAUAUCAAAGAAAAUGCUCUCCCAACUUUACGGCAGUUCGUUAGCUGCUGUUGUCUCAAAGUAAAAGAAAAGCAGCAAUCCAUGUUCUCCACACCAGAAGAUGCUCACCUCUCACUUAUUAUUACAAUUUUAAAAAUAAUAAAUAUUUUUAAAUGCAUUAGUCUGGAAGCA